CACAUUUCUGUCCUUUGAGAGUUUAUGAAAAGACUGGUUUCUGUCCCAACAUACAGAGAAGACACAUCCUAAGAACAGGUAUAAAAAUAAAUACAAAUAAGUUGGAGACAUCAAACUGAAAAGCUUCUGCAGAGUAAAAGGAAAUAGAAGAAGCCUUACAGGACAAGAAAAAAACAUCUGCAAACCAUAUACUUGAUGGAGAGACUAAAGAAAGAAAAUGGUAACCACUUGAAUAAAAAUCAGCCCCAAAAUGAAUAGCUAUUAUCCAAUGAGGACACACAAAUUGGCAACAGGAAGAGAAAAAAUCCCAGGCUUCUAAGAAACCAUUUCCUUUGGAGCAGACCACCUUCCCAAACCACAUUUCAAGCUCUGAUUCCUCAACCUGUGUCAUCUGCUUCAUUCACUCCCUCUUACCUGGAAGUUUGGCUAAUGUGCCAUGUCUCUUCACAUCCCAGGGCUCUUUCCUUUGCUC
Molecule: long non-coding RNA, 472 nt
Organism: Carlito syrichta (Philippine tarsier)
Lineage: Eukaryota; Metazoa; Chordata; Mammalia; Primates; Tarsiidae
Exons: 3
Source: RefSeq, a predicted model, not a curated record